AUCUCCUAAAAUUAUUUCGGGCCAUCAAAUACGACCUAAGAAACCAUAGUCACUGCCCCGCCAUGGCCAUUCCUCGUUGUUUUGCAUUUUCAGGACAAUAAACUAGAAUUCCGCCCUAUUCCAAUAUUUUCGUGUGCUCUAGCCCACGCCUUCCGAGUGGUCCCGGGUCCCCCGAAACCGGAUUGCCUAAAAAUUUCCAGGCCAUCAAAUACUACAUAAGGAACCAUAGUCACCGCCCCGCCAUGGCCGUUCCUCGUUGUUUUGCAUUUUACGGCCAAAAAACUAGAAUUCCUCACGAUUCCCAUAUAUUCGUGCGUUUCAGUCCAUGCCUUCCGAGUGGGUCCGGGCCCGCCGGACCCCGAUCGCCUAAAAAUUUUCCGCGCUAUCAAAUACUAACUAAGGAACCAUAGUCACCGCCCCACCAUGACCGUUCCUUGUAGUUUUGCUUUAUACGG
RNAcentral lists this long non-coding RNA (455 nucleotides) under Nicotiana tabacum (common tobacco). RNAcentral describes it as "long non-coding RNA (NTAB_LNC019172)". The record is from RNAcentral. Lineage: Eukaryota; Viridiplantae; Streptophyta; Magnoliopsida; Solanales; Solanaceae.